Molecule: ribosomal RNA, 1164 nt
Filed under: Triticum aestivum (bread wheat)
Lineage: Eukaryota; Viridiplantae; Streptophyta; Magnoliopsida; Poales; Poaceae
Description: partial small subunit ribosomal RNA
Source: RNAcentral
AUGACGUCCAGCCACCGCCGCCUCCGCCCCCGCCCGACGUCGGCGCCGCCGCUGGAGGACGACGACCUGCUCGACGAGGUCCUCCUCCGCCUCUCCCCGGAUCCGUCCUCCCUCCCGCGCGCCUCGGCCGUCUGCACCCGCUGGCGCCGCCUCGUCUCCGACCCCGGCUUCGUCAGCCGCUUCCGCCUCCGCCACCGCCGCAGCCCUCCCAUCCUCGGCUGCUUCAUCAGGGACAAGCAGAGCCCGAUCGUCUCCUUCGUGCCCACCAUGGAGGCCCCCAAUCGCGUCCCCGCCGAGCGCUUCUCCUUGCAGCUCGCCGGCCGCGGCCCCAUCACUUUCCUCGACUGCCGCCACGGCCUCCUGCUCAUGUUCCUCCCGUGUUGGAUCAAGGUCCUGGUGUGGGACCCCGUCACCGGAGACCAGCACCGCCUCGACAUUCCCCCGGGGUUCGACACGAAGCAGGGGAUCGGCGGGGCGGUGCUUCGCGCCGCCGGGGCCAUCAGCCACUUCCAGGUGGUCUUGUUGGGCAGAGACAAACAAGUGAUCACCGCCUGCGUUUACUCGUCCGAGGCGGGCGUAUGGGGCGGUCUCAUCUCGACUCCGCUUCCAAAUGAGGUGCCAGUGGACUUCGAUUUUAGGGGGGUGCCUGUGCUGAUUGGGGAUUCCCUUCACUGUUUGAUUACGGGUAGCUGUUCUGGAAUCCUUGAGUUUGAUUUGAAUAUGGGGAUCCUAACCGUGAUACCAGGGCCUGUGGAUAUUUUGGAUGCGGGCCGUUGCCAAUCCACGGUUAUGCGGGCAGAGGAUGGCGGGCUUGGUGUUCUAUUCAAGUCAGACUGCAAUGUCCAAUUAUGGAGGAGGAAGAUUGAUUGUGAUGGCGAGGCCUCAUGGGUUCUGGGGAGAACUUUUGAGCUAGACACGCUGCUUUCCCUGAAUUCAGAGGACAAAAGGUACACGGUGAUGCUAGGCUUGGCCGAGUACAAUAAUACGGUGGUGGUGCAGACAGUUGCCGGCCACUUCAUGGUCCAGCUCGAGUCAUUGCAGUUCAAGAAGAUGUCCGAAACCAUCAGUUCGCAUUUCCAUCAACCAUUAGAAAGUGUCUAUACUGGAGAAACAAGCAUUGGUGGUGGAGGACAUAAUGGAGCUGAACUUUUGCACAACCCUUAA